This 68-nucleotide transfer RNA is filed under the name Tanytarsus formosanus. RNAcentral describes it as "tRNA-Ser". The record is from RNAcentral. Lineage: Eukaryota; Metazoa; Arthropoda; Insecta; Diptera; Chironomidae.
AGUUAAUGAGCUUGAACUAAGCAUUUGUUUUGAAAACAAAAGAUAGAAAAAAAAAUUUCUAUUAACUU